CAGCUCCUGAGCAGCUGGGCCUGACCUCCACCUUUCCCCAGGCCCUGCUCUGCAUUUUCUUCUGGGGAGAGUCCUCCAGCUCUCCCACAGCCGGCCUCUCUGCGACUGGAGUGAGUCCGCGGGGAGCAGAGGUCAGGAAACGGCCCGGCACAGGCAGGUAACUCUCCUUGCAGUGGAAGCUUGCCUGUCUGGAUGUGUCUGCUCGCUUCUUGGGGCUGCCGGGCUUGGCCUGGCUUCCUUCGUUGCAGCAAAUGCCUACCUUCAUCAGUGUGCAUCCGGCUGCAGAGGGAAAUUGAGGACCUUACACAGCAGCUAGCGGCCAUGCAGUUCUUCAAUGACAAGUUCCAGGACCUUUGAAGUUGGAGCCAGCGUCCGGAGCUGCAGCCAAGCGAGUUUCCUCCUUAUCCUCCUUAGCCAGGGCUUUUUCUCUUCCGCUGCAUUUGCCCCCUUCCCAACGCAGUUCAAAGCAGUGUGAAAUAAAGUCG
RNAcentral lists this long non-coding RNA (485 nucleotides) under Pan troglodytes (chimpanzee). RNAcentral describes it as "long non-coding RNA NONPTRT018296". Lineage: Eukaryota; Metazoa; Chordata; Mammalia; Primates; Hominidae. The record is from RNAcentral.